This 422-nucleotide ribosomal RNA is filed under the name uncultured archaeon. RNAcentral describes it as "partial 16S ribosomal RNA". It matches the Rfam family "Archaeal small subunit ribosomal RNA", at positions 323 to 746 of the family's 1478-position model. The record is from RNAcentral.
CUACGGGUUGCAGCAGUUAGGAAUAAUCUACAAUGCACGAAAGUGUGAUAGUUUGAGCCAGAGUGCUUUUCAAUUUGGAAAGCUUUUGCCAAAUGUAAAAAGUUUGGCGAAUAAGGACUGGGUAAGACGAGUGCCAGCCGCCGCGGUAAUACUCGCGGUCCAAGUCGCAGCCAUUUUUAUUGGGUCUAAAACAUCCGUAGCUUGCUUGAUAAGUCCCUUGUGAAAUUCUGUAUCUCAAGUGCAGAGCGUGCAGGGGGUACUGCCAAGCUAGAGACUGGAAGACGUGGAAAGUACGUUCGAAGUAGCGGUAAAAUGUUUUAAUCUCGGACGGACUCACAAUAGCGAAGGCAUUCCACGAGGACAGUUCUGACAGUAAGGGAUGAAGGCUAGGGGCGCAAAACGGAUUAGAUACCCUAGUAGUC